Molecule: unclassified non-coding RNA, 259 nt
Filed under: Hevea brasiliensis (rubber tree)
Lineage: Eukaryota; Viridiplantae; Streptophyta; Magnoliopsida; Malpighiales; Euphorbiaceae
Source: RNAcentral
AGUAUCUCCAUUCUUGAGCCAGUCCGGGAUGGGUCCAGAAAGCAAGUUGCUUGUCAGAUACACAUUCUCCAAUUCUGUUAGACCUUCAAGAUCUCUUGAAAGAUUUCCUUCCAAUUUGUUGAAGCUAAGAUCUAAAAUUUUCAGGUUUGGCCUUGCUCCGAUAUACAGUGGGAUAGAUCCAUAUAUACUACAAUUCCUCAACAUCAGCAACAUAAUCUCUGUCAUGUUCUCUAAAUGUGGAAACUCUGAACCUUCUCCA